Molecule: long non-coding RNA, 1220 nt
Filed under: Numida meleagris (helmeted guineafowl)
Lineage: Eukaryota; Metazoa; Chordata; Aves; Galliformes; Numididae
Description: lncRNA (ENSNMEG00000017176.1)
Source: RNAcentral
CAAAGGAACUCACCUAUUUAGGAACCCAGCACUUGUUUUUCAGAUACACUUUUGGGCAUGAACGCUGAUUUUUCACAAGUGGAAACCAAGGAAAAGUGAGCAUGUGCCCAUAUGUGUUGGGCCGUGGGUGAGGGUGAUUAGCAAGCCAGUGGGAAGCGCUACAGAACGAAGGCGGAGCUGGUGGUGUGGAUGUUUAACAUUGGAGAAUGGUCAGAUGAACACCAAACAGAACACAGGAAUUGUGGAGAUCUUGUAUCUGGUCCAUCUACUGACGUGCCUCUGGUCCCUGUGCUGCUGCCAGGUUACUUUCUCCUCCUCCCAUCUAACAACUUCUGUUGGUUUUGAAUUCACCAGCCAUAACGCACGUCUCAUUACUCCCUUUAAAAGUUUCUAAAUAGUCAUUUUAAGAUGUUAAAUUGGCAAAGGAGUGCUAAUCUCUUCUUGGAUUUUGAUUUUUUAAUGUUCCCCAUUGUGGAUCAAUCUGGAACACCGCAUAUGGCAAUCCCCACGUUGGGUAAUCACGGUUAUUAUUGUAAGUGUCCCCCAGAGAAUCUUAACAACUGAAGUGGGCAAUUAUCUUAUUUUAAAUUUAAUUUUAAAAUGAUCCACAUAAGGAGAAAAGUUUUAAUGUGAUCAAAGGAUUCAUUUCAAUAACAGCUCCUGGCACCGGUGUAAGUAGCGAUUGAUGCUCGCAGCCUCCAGCAUCUAUCAGAGCUGAGUGUGCAUCUGCUAUUGACAGCACACGACAUUAAGAAAUGCUUCAGUCUGUAACAACAGCCAUCCAUUUUUUUUUUUUUCCUAGAACUUUGCAGCAUCUCUGUAGAAUUGGAGCCGUGGUUUUACUGAAGUAUUACGGACGUUACGCCAUUACGGAGCGGGCAGCAUCCUCUGUCGGAGGAGCAGGGCUACAGGAGAGGUUACGGCACCCAGACCAGUACCUCCAUCACAGCCUGCAGCACAUCCCUCGAUGUGCCUCCUUGUGGCACAAGGACCUGGCUUCAUCACAGAAUGGUAAGGAGUCGAGAUUUUAUCAUAGAAUCAUAUAUAGAACCACACAAUGGCUGGGAGGCACCCCCCCAACCCCCAGCUGUGGGCUGGGUGCCCCCCAGCUUAAGCUGCCCAGGGCCCAUCCAUGGCCUCGGGCAUCUCCAGGGAUGGGGCACCCACAGCUCUGGGCAGUGCCAGGGCCUCACUGCCCUCUGAGGAAAGAAUUUCCUUCA